RNAcentral lists this ribosomal RNA (767 nucleotides) under uncultured bacterium. RNAcentral's name for it is "bacterial SSU rRNA". It matches the Rfam family "Bacterial small subunit ribosomal RNA", at positions 8 to 796 of the family's 1533-position model. The record is from RNAcentral.
AGAGUUUGAUCCUGGCUCAGAUUGAACGCUGGCGGCAGGCCUAACACAUGCAAGUCGAACGAAGUCUUCGGACUUAGUGGCGGACGGGUGAGUAACACGUGGGAACGUGCCUUUAGGUUCGGAAUAACUCAGGGAAACUUGUGCUAAUACCGAAUGUGCCCUUCGGGGGAAAGAUUUAUCGCCUUUAGAGCGGCCCGCGUCUGAUUAGCUAGUUGGUGAGGUAAAGGCUCACCAAGGCGACGAUCAGUAGCUGGUCUGAGAGGAUGAUCAGCCACAUUGGGACUGAGACACGGUCCAGACUCCUACGGGAGGCAGCAGUGGGGAAUAUUGGACAAUGGGCGAAAGCCUGAUCCAGCCAUGCCGCGUGUGUGAAGAAGGUCUUCGGAUUGUAAAGCACUUUAAGUUGGGAGGAAGGGUAGUAACCUAAUACGUUGCUGCUUUGACGUUACCGACAGAAUAAGCACCGGCUAACUUCGUGCCAGCAGCCGCGGUAAUACGAAGGGUGCAAGCGUUAAUCGGAAUUACUGGGCGUAAAGCGCGCGUAGGUGGUUCAGCAAGUUGGAUGUGAAAGCCCUGGGCUCAACCUGGGAACUGCAUCCAAAACUACUGAGCUAGAGUACGGUAGAGGGUAGUGGAAUUUCCUGUGUAGCGGUGAAAUGCGUAGAUAUAGGAAGGAACACCAGUGGCGAAGGCGACUACCUGGACUGAUACUGACACUGAGGUGCGAAAGCGUGGGGAGCAAACAGGAUUAGAUACCCUGGUAGUCC